AAAUCGUGGUGGGGGCAUUUCUUGAAAAGGUCCUUGAACCUUUCAUGUGCUUCAAAAAAACUCUCUAAGUCUCUUUGCCUAAAUGCAAAAAUUUCUUGUCUUGUCAU
Small nucleolar RNA from Dioscorea cayenensis subsp. rotundata (Guinea yam), 107 nucleotides. NCBI's taxonomy places the organism in Eukaryota, Viridiplantae, Streptophyta, Magnoliopsida, Dioscoreales, Dioscoreaceae. The record is from RefSeq and is a predicted model, not a curated record.